Molecule: non-coding RNA, 179 nt
Filed under: Lachnospiraceae bacterium
Lineage: Bacteria; Bacillati; Bacillota; Clostridia; Lachnospirales; Lachnospiraceae
Description: 6S RNA
Rfam family: 6S / SsrS RNA
About the family: E. coli 6S RNA was the first non coding RNA to be sequenced, but its function was unknown until recently. It consists of 184 nucleotides that fold into an extended hairpin structure with a large single-stranded internal bulge.
Source: RNAcentral
GAACUUCUGGGGUGCAUGACAACUCCUGUGAUUUUGAACCUACAUUUAUUUUCAUGGGAUACCGAUAUCUAUAAGCGGAUGCCAGGCCUGCAUAGACUGGAAGGCAGAUUCUUAUGUGUGGAAGCCCACCUAGCUUGGCUAGGACUCAAAAUACAGGAACCGGCAUUUCCGGUUGUUCU